This 24-nucleotide non-coding RNA is filed under the name Arabidopsis thaliana (thale cress). The record is from RNAcentral. Lineage: Eukaryota; Viridiplantae; Streptophyta; Magnoliopsida; Brassicales; Brassicaceae.
GUAAUUGUAAUCUUGGGUAUCAGG